CUUGAGUAGGGAUGAGCAGAGAGUGUUUGUUAAUUUGGGUGAGGAUAUGGCUAGAUUGGGUGUGGGCAAGUUUAGAUUGGGUGUGACGUAGGUAGGUAGAAUGGGAUUUGAUUGGGUUUGAUGUGGUGUGAUUAAAGUGGAUGAGGCGUGGCUAGAUUGAUGAGUCAUAAUAGUACUCAAACUCUAAGGUAUAAUGGCGUGGGAAGGCUAAGAUAAAUAAGAUGAUGGGUGGUAGAGUCCUACUUCCACUCAAACUCUCAAAGAGCUGGGGCAUGAG
This 277-nucleotide long non-coding RNA is filed under the name Phoenix dactylifera (date palm). RNAcentral's name for it is "long non-coding RNA (PDAC_LNC002130)". Lineage: Eukaryota; Viridiplantae; Streptophyta; Magnoliopsida; Arecales; Arecaceae. The record is from RNAcentral.